Molecule: long non-coding RNA, 727 nt
Filed under: Rattus norvegicus (Norway rat)
Lineage: Eukaryota; Metazoa; Chordata; Mammalia; Rodentia; Muridae
Description: long non-coding RNA NONRATT021200
Source: RNAcentral
CUAUUAAGUGGAAAUGAGAGCUCAUCCAAAAAGCGACAGAAAAAGAAAAAAGAAAAGAAGAAAUCUGGUAGGACACUAGAUUGAUUUCACUAAGUGCUUGAGAGACUUAGUAAAAGAAACCAAUUCCUGCAUCUCACAAGCUUUAAUUGUUUUGUGCUUGGUCAAGUAUUCAUCUUCUUCUUCAUCGAGCUCUGAUUCUUCCAGCAGUUCUUCAGAUUCUGAGGAGGAGGAUAAAAAGCAAACAAAAAGAAGGAAGAAAAAGAAGAGCCAUUGCCAUAAGUCUCCGGAGACCUCCGUGUCGGAUUCAGACUCAGACAGCAAGGUGAGACUCAGCCCUGGACUGCUGAGAGCAAAAACAGCCAUUUUCCUGUCUGCUUUUCCUGUCUAGCGCUUCAGUUAGAAAGCACAUUUGAUUUCAUUUUUGGAUUUUUGAGACAGAGUUUUUCUCUGUAUAGACCUAGAUCAGGCUGGCCUCAAAGUCACUGAGAUCCAACCUGCCUUCCUGUGCAGCCUGAGUGCUGGCACUAAAGGGGUGCACUAGCACCACCACUCCCAGCCACAUUUGACUUUUGUACUUUGAGGUUCUGCACCAGUCGACAGGUGUAUUUAAUAUUGUACAUGUAGCAUCUUUUUAUCCUUUAUUCUUCAUAUGCAUGUUUGUAUGAUUCCAUGAUAGUGUUUCCUUUGUUUGUAAAAUAAUAUUUGCAAUUCUAGGUUAAAAAAAAAA